UUUUUUUUUCAGGUUGGCAUUCUUCAAGCCGCAAGGAAUGGAAAUGCGCCCACUUCUUAUGAAAUGAAGGCACCACUGAGGUUGGCCAUUUCACAUGCUCAGACAUGUACCCUGCCAGCUGCCAUUGAACUGGCUAUCAGGGAGCUUUCCAGUGAGCUGGAAUUUCAAACGCUAUGGUCUGAUGCAGAAGCAGAUCUUGAACUAGCGUCAGUAGCUUUUCUGGCUGGGUACAUUGUACGAGCUUGUGAAGAAAAGGUGCCAGGCGAAUUGUGCAAGACCCUACUGGAAGCACUAGAACCAACCGGGCCACUCUACGGACUGAUAGCAAAUAUAGACAAUGGAGGCUUGACAUACCCUAAAAUGGAAGUUGUUAAGCGUUGCCA
RNAcentral lists this long non-coding RNA (383 nucleotides) under Dermacentor andersoni. RNAcentral's name for it is "uncharacterized LOC126522659". The record is from RNAcentral. Lineage: Eukaryota; Metazoa; Arthropoda; Arachnida; Ixodida; Ixodidae.